UACGUAGGGUGCGAGCGUUAAUCGGAAUUACUGGGCGUAAAGCGUGCGCAGGCGGUCUGUUAAGACCGAUGUGAAAUCCCCGGGCUUAACCUGGGAACUGCAUUGGUGACUGGCAGGCUUUGAGUGUGGCAGAGGGAGGUAGAAUUCCACGUGUAGCAGUGAAAUGCGUAGAGAUGUGGAGGAACACCGAUGGCGAAGGCAGCCUCCUGGGCCAGCACUGACGCUCAUGCACGAAAGCGUGGGGAGCAAACAGG
RNAcentral lists this ribosomal RNA (254 nucleotides) under uncultured bacterium. RNAcentral's name for it is "partial 16S ribosomal RNA". It matches the Rfam family "Bacterial small subunit ribosomal RNA", at positions 524 to 776 of the family's 1533-position model. The record is from RNAcentral.